CAGCCGUAAACAAUGUGCGUUAGGUGUGUCGGUAACCACGCGUUACUGAUGCGCCGAAGAGAAAUCGUGAAACGCACCACCUGGGAAGUACGGUCGCAAGGCUGAAGCUUAAAGGAAUUGGCGGGGGAGCACCACAACAGGUGGAGCCUGCGGUUUAAUUGGAUUCAACGCCGGACAUCUCACCGGAUAAGACAGCUGAAUGAUUGUCAAUCUGAAGGUUUUACAUGACUAGCUGAGAGGUGGUGCAUGGCGUCAGUGACU
This 261-nucleotide ribosomal RNA is filed under the name uncultured archaeon. RNAcentral's name for it is "partial 16S ribosomal RNA". It matches the Rfam family "Archaeal small subunit ribosomal RNA", at positions 748 to 1008 of the family's 1478-position model. The record is from RNAcentral.